This is a long non-coding RNA of Oncorhynchus keta (chum salmon), 455 nucleotides long. RefSeq lists it as uncharacterized. Lineage: Eukaryota; Metazoa; Chordata; Actinopteri; Salmoniformes; Salmonidae. The transcript has 4 exons. The record is from RefSeq and is a predicted model, not a curated record.
ACUACAGCUCAUACACUAUAGCAGAGGAGGGCAACUACAGCUCAUACACUAUAGCAGAGGAGGGCAACUACAGCUCAUACACUAUAGCAGAGGAGGGCAACUACAGCUCAUACACUAUAGCAGAGGAGGGCAACUACAGCUCAUACACUAUAGCAGAGGAGGGCAACUACAGCUCAUACACUAUAGCAGAGGAGGGCAACUACAGCUCAUACACUAUAGCAGAGGAGGGCAACUACAGCUCAUACACUAUAGCAGAGGAGGGCAACUACAGCUCAUACACUAUAGCAGAGGAGGGCAACUACAGCUCAUACACUAUAGCAGAGGAGGGCAACUACAGCUCAUACACUAUAGCAGAGGAGGGCAACUACAGCUCAUACACUAUAGCAGAGGAGGGCAACUACAGCUCAUACACUAUAGCAGAGGAGGGCAACUACAGGUCAUACACUAUAGCAGAG